Molecule: ribosomal RNA, 494 nt
Filed under: uncultured bacterium
Lineage: Bacteria
Description: partial 16S ribosomal RNA
Rfam family: Bacterial small subunit ribosomal RNA
Source: RNAcentral
GACGAACGCUGGCGGCGUGCUUAACACAUGCAAGUCGAACGGUGAAGCGCCUUCCUUUUUGGUGGGUGUGGAUGAGUGGCGAACGGGUGAGUAACACGUGAGUAACCUGCCCCCUUCUUCUGGAUAACCGCAUGAAAGUGUGGCUAAUACGGGAUAUUCUGGGUCUGUCGCAUGAUGGGUCCUGGAAAGAUAUUGUUUCGGUGGGGGAUGGGCUCGCGGCCUAUCAGCUUGGUGGUGGGGUGAUGGCCUACCAAGGCGGUGAGGGGUAGCCGGCCUAGGAGGGUGGACGGUCACACUGGGACUGAGACACGGCCAAGACUACUACGGGAGGCAGCAGUGGGGAAUAUUGCACAAUGGGAGCAAGCCUGAUGCAGCGACGCCGCGUGAGGGAUGGAGGCCUUAGGGUUGUGAACCUCUUUCGCCAGUGAAGCAGGCCUGCCUCGUUUGUGGGUGGGUUGACGGUAGCUGGAGAAGAAGCGCCGGCUAACUACGUG